Pseudopipra pipra is the source of this 438-nucleotide long non-coding RNA. RefSeq lists it as uncharacterized. The record is from RefSeq and is a predicted model, not a curated record. NCBI's taxonomy places the organism in Eukaryota, Metazoa, Chordata, Aves, Passeriformes, Pipridae. The transcript has 2 exons.
UACUUUCAUUCCUAGGUGUGCCAAUUCUCUGGAACACUCCUCCCUAGACUAUCUGGAAUAUAUGUGUGUGGAAUUCAGUUCAUCUCUGUUGGUGCUGUACUACACAUGUUGUCCUUUUGCAUUUGCAGAGCGAGAUAAUGGAAUUAUGUUCAGCUAUUUAAAGUCAGAAUUGCCAAAUGUGUACCUUUAAAUGUGUGUCCACCACAAAUACAUUUUUUGUACCAGUGAAUGACAGGAGGAAAAAGGCACGAAUUAAAGGCAACAGCAAACUUCUACUGGAAGACACAAUUACUUUCCUACCAGUAUAUCUCAUUUGGACUUACUAACUACAAAGAGCCUCUCAAUGCAAUCUUAAGAUCCUAGUUCAGAAAAGGUUUCAUGCACAAGCUGUAAACAGGUGACCAAGUUUCAUUAAAGUCAUCAGGAUGUAACAACCCA